GAUGAACGCUGGCGGCGUGCCUAAUACAUGCAAGUCGAGCGGCAGCAUGACCUUCGGGUUGAUGGCGAGCGGCGGACGGCAGAGUAACGCGUAGGAAUAUACCCCAAAGUGAGGGAUAACUGCCCGAAAGGGCGGCUAAUACCGCAUAUGGUCUUUAUGAUUAAAGGAUUUAUCCGCUUUGGGAAUAGCCUGCGUUCGAUUAGCUUGUUGGUGAGGUAAUGGCUCACCAAGGCGACGAUCGAUAGCUGGUCUGAGAGGAUGAUCAGCCUGACUGGAACUGAGACACGGUCCAGACUCCUACGGGAGGCAGCAGUAGGGAAUUUUCCACAAUGGGCGAAAGCCUGAUGGAGCAACGCCGCGUGCAGGAUGAAGGCCUUCGGGUUGUAAACUGCUUUUAUGUGCGAAGAAUAUGACGGUAACACAUGAAUAAGGGUCGGCUAACUACGUGCCAGCAGCCGCGGUAA
This 464-nucleotide ribosomal RNA is filed under the name uncultured bacterium. RNAcentral's name for it is "partial 16S ribosomal RNA". It matches the Rfam family "Bacterial small subunit ribosomal RNA", at positions 28 to 523 of the family's 1533-position model. The record is from RNAcentral.